Molecule: non-coding RNA, 1105 nt
Organism: Mus musculus (house mouse)
Lineage: Eukaryota; Metazoa; Chordata; Mammalia; Rodentia; Muridae
Source: the annotation of a RefSeq genome assembly
AAAGCCAGCCUCCGGCCAAACCAUCUGUUUUCAUCAUGAAAAAUGGAACAAAUGUUGCUUGUCUGGUGAAAGAUUUCUACCCUAAAGAGGUGACUAUAAGUCUCAGAUCAUCCAAGAAGAUUGUGGAAUUCGACCCUGCUAUAGUCAUCUCCCCCAGCGGGAAGUACAGUGCUGUCAAGCUUGGUCAGUAUGGAGAUUCGAAUUCAGUGACAUGUUCAGUUCAGCACAACAGUGAAACUGUGCACUCGACUGACUUUGAACCAUAUGCAAAUUCUUUCAAUAAUGAAAAACUACCAGAACCUGAAAAUGACACACAAAUUUCAGAGCCUUGCUAUGGCCCAAGAGUCACAGUUCACACUGAGAAGGUAAACAUGAUGUCCCUCACGGUGCUGGGCCUACGACUGCUGUUUGCCAAGACCAUUGCCAUCAAUUUUCUCUUGACUGUUAAGUUAUUCUUUUAAGGUGGGCUGACAUGAGGAGACUACGGUUCCUGAAAGAAAUCAAAAGCUUAGAAAGAUGCUAUAUCCCAGGCUUCCAACUUCUCAGUGCUUCAGACUGACCCUUCACCACCACAUUUAAACAGCUGCUAACAAAACCAGCUUUUCUGUGACAGCAACAAGCCUAGCUAAUCCUCCAGUCUAGAAGAAAAGCAAAAGCCCUCGGGACCCCCGGCUUUACCUGCUGCUUUAUAAAGGCAUGGGAAGUUAUGAAAACAGAUCCAUUUUAUUUUGCCCCCAUAAUUGGUAUACUUUGAAAAUGGUGUUUCAUCCUUCUUCAUUUACCCAGAACUAGGAAGUGGGGACCAGCUUCAUUAUCCAGGAGGAAAUAAUCUUGAGAGAGAGAACCCGUAUCUUUUUAGCUAAACAUGGAAAGCUGUACUCAACUCAUCCCUAGCCAGAGCCCCCUCCUCCUCUCCUGAGGCGAGCAUGGCCCAGCCCCCCCCCCUUUGUAUUUACUCCAAUAGUCACACAGGAGAGUUUUCCUAGCAGCACUACGGUGUGAACAAUUUUAGCACUUUCUGUUUCUCCUAAUACUUUACAAACAAACUCACACUUGGCUUCCUUAAUGCUCUCCAAGCAGACAAUAAAGCUUCUAAGAUCGCAUC